CAUUAGAUGACUGAAAGCAAGUAUUGGUCUCUUAAAUCAAAUUAUAGUAUAAUAGCACAUACUUCUAAUGA
This 71-nucleotide transfer RNA is filed under the name Chamaemyia juncorum. RNAcentral's name for it is "tRNA-Lys". The record is from RNAcentral. Lineage: Eukaryota; Metazoa; Arthropoda; Insecta; Diptera; Chamaemyiidae.